This is a long non-coding RNA of Capsicum annuum, 935 nucleotides long. RefSeq lists it as uncharacterized. NCBI's taxonomy places the organism in Eukaryota, Viridiplantae, Streptophyta, Magnoliopsida, Solanales, Solanaceae. The record is from RefSeq and is a predicted model, not a curated record. The transcript has 4 exons.
GUUGUUGUUGAGUUUGGUAGACAUGUUAUGGUGAGAGUUGGACAAUUUGAAAAAGAUAUAGAGUGCUUUACAACACAUUUGACUGUUUGAACAAUAUUGCAGUUGAUAUUUAAGGAAAUAGGUCUUUGUUUUUAUAAAUAUAAUAAUUACUAAAAAUUCUUGCAACCCUACAAACAACCUCUAUGCCUCAAAAAGGUAGGUAAGGUCUCCGUACAUCCCUACCUUCCUAGACCCCACUUGUGGGAUUAGAUUGGGUAUGUUGUUGUUUGUAUACAAAUUACUAAAAUCUUUAGCAAGUCAAAGAAAAGGUGAUGGAAGGAGGGAGUACAAAAACAAUUGAGAGCUGCAACUAGAUAGUGUUGUUGACUUACUGAGAUAAUCUCAGUAGCUAGCUUUGACAGGAAUGCGGAACUAGCUAGUUGGUCAAACAAAAAGGCAUGGAGGAGACACAGUAGGAAGCCGUGGUCCAAAUUUAUCAAUGCAGAUAAUCAGCAUUUAGUGUCACCAGAGGCUAUAGAUUUUCUUGACAAGCUUCUUCGUUAUGAUCACCAGGAUAGACUUACAGCAAAAGAAGCAAUGGCCCAUCCCUAUUUCUUGCAAGUGAGGGCUGCAGAGAAUAGCAGGAUGAGGACGCAAUAGCCUGUUCUAUUGAUCUUACUUUUCGAAAGAAGCAGCUUGUGGUGUAAUAUAGCAUAUAUUGUUAUCUUCAUCUAUUUCGAUUAAGGUUUACAGAUAUGCUGAAUUUAAGAGUGGCAGUUCAUCAUGGAGCAUUUCACGAGCAAUUAGUUUUCAUCGAUUUACUCCUCAUAGCCUCAACUAAUGUUCACUGAUGAUUAUGAAUCGCCUUCAAUUAACUCUCAUCUUUUUAUAUCCAAAGUGGUCAACAUGUGGAGUGUAUUGUUUGAGAAUUGAAAUAUAUUGAGAAGUUUUGCCAA